Molecule: ribosomal RNA, 225 nt
Filed under: uncultured bacterium
Lineage: Bacteria
Description: partial 16S ribosomal RNA
Rfam family: Bacterial small subunit ribosomal RNA
Source: RNAcentral
GCAAGUCGAACGAAAAGCAGUCUUCGGAGGGAGUGGCGAAAGGGCGAGGAAUAUAAUCGAAUGUACCCCAAGGUGAAGGAUAGCUUCUGGAAACGGGAGAUAAUACUUCAUGUGCUCUACGGAGGAAAGGUUUACCGCCUUGGGAGCGGCGAUUAUCCUAUCAGGUAGUUGGUGAGGUAAAGGCUCACCAAGCCGAAGACGGGUAGCGGGUGUGAGAGCAUGACC